GAUGAACGCUGGCGGCAUGCCUAACACAUGCAAGUCGAUCGGUAAGGCUCUUCGGAGUACACGAGAGGCGGACGGCUGAGUAACGCGUAGGAACACACCCUGCAGUGAGGGAUAAGACACCGAAAGGUGUUCUAAUACCGCAUACGGUCUUCGGAUUAAAGCAUUUAUGCGCUGAAGGAGUGGCCUGCGUCAUAUUAGAUAGUUGGUGAGGUAAUGGCUCACCAAGUCGAUGAUGUGUAGCUGGUCUGAGAGGAUGAUCAGCCAGACUGGAACUGAGACACGGUCCAGACUCCUACGGGAGGCAGCAGUGAGGAAUAUUUCACAAUGAGCGAAAGCUUGAUGGAGCAAUGCCGCGUGCAGGAUGAAGGCCCUAGGGUUGUAAACUGCUUUUAUAAGAGAAGAUUAUGACGGUAACUGAUGAAUAAGGGACGGCUAACUACGUG
Molecule: ribosomal RNA, 443 nt
Filed under: uncultured bacterium
Lineage: Bacteria
Description: partial 16S ribosomal RNA
Rfam family: Bacterial small subunit ribosomal RNA
Source: RNAcentral